This is a long non-coding RNA of Zea mays, 187 nucleotides long. RefSeq lists it as uncharacterized. The record is from RefSeq and is a predicted model, not a curated record. Lineage: Eukaryota; Viridiplantae; Streptophyta; Magnoliopsida; Poales; Poaceae. The transcript has 3 exons.
UGUUGUCGCAGUCACUGAUUGGCUAGAUGGUUAUAUUGCUAGAAAGAUGCAGCUAGGAACACCUUUUGGUGCAUUUCUUGAUCCUGUGGCCGACAAGCUUAUGGUAGCGACAACAUUAGUUUUGCUAUGCACCAAACCUUUGGAAUCAUCACUGCUCAAUGAUGGGCCAUGGCUUCUAACAAUCCCU